AAAUCGUAACAAGGUUUCCGUAGGUGAGCCUGCGGAAGGAUCAUUACCUUUCUGGCUUUUAAUAGCUUGUCUGGGGGCUGCAGUUUCUGCAGUCUCUGACUACAUCCGUGUUUUUUGCGUUACUACAUGUUUCCUCGGGCGGCUUGCUUGCCGUUGGCAGUCGAAACAAUAAUAACUCUUUGCAAUUUGCAAUCAGCGUCUGAAUUAUAUAAUAAUUACAA
Molecule: unclassified non-coding RNA, 221 nt
Filed under: plant metagenome
Description: partial contains small subunit ribosomal RNA and internal transcribed spacer 1
Rfam family: Eukaryotic small subunit ribosomal RNA (bases 1-46)
Source: RNAcentral